Molecule: non-coding RNA, 91 nt
Filed under: human gut metagenome
Description: yjdF RNA
Rfam family: azaaromatic riboswitch aptamer (yjdF RNA)
Source: RNAcentral
GCAAAGAUAAAAACACGUCCCGGCCGGUAGUCCGUGGAGCGGCGCUAAAACGCCGUCAGUAACCUGCCUCCUUGGUUGUCCGUUCUUUGCA